GUGGGUUAUGGAGACAUGUGCCCCAUUACCAUGGGCGGCAAGCUGGUUGGCACCUUGUGUGCCAUUGCUGGUGUGCUGACCCUUGCCCUACCUGUGCCCGUUAUCGUCUCCAAC
This is a regulatory RNA element of Scleropages formosus (Asian bonytongue), 114 nucleotides long. It matches the Rfam family "Potassium channel RNA editing signal". From Rfam's summary of the family: This family represents a group of sequences related to the human potassium channel Kv1.1 hairpin element which directs the efficient modification of an adenosine to inosine by an adenosine deaminase acting on RNA (ADAR). The ADAR modification causes an isoleucine/valine recoding event which lies in the ion-conducting pore of the potassium channel. The record is from Rfam. NCBI's taxonomy places the organism in Eukaryota, Metazoa, Chordata, Actinopteri, Osteoglossiformes, Osteoglossidae.